Molecule: unclassified non-coding RNA, 330 nt
Filed under: soil metagenome
Description: partial contains 5.8S ribosomal RNA, internal transcribed spacer 2, and large subunit ribosomal RNA
Rfam family: 5.8S ribosomal RNA (bases 1-120)
Source: RNAcentral
GAUGAAGAACGUAGCGAAAUGCGAUAAGUAAUGUGAAUUGCAGAAUUCAGUGAAUCAUCGAAUCUUUGAACGCACAUUGCGCCCUCUGGUAUUCCGGGGGGCAUGCCUGUUCGAGCGUCAUUACAACCCUCAAGCUUUGCUUGGUAUUGGACAUUGCCAGUUUCUGGCAGGUCUUAAAAUCAGUGGCGGUGCCAUUUGGCUUCAAGCGUAGUAAUUCUUCUCGCUUUGGAGAUCCAAGUGGUUACUUGCCAAUAACCCCCAAUUUUUUCAGGUUGACCUCGUAUCAGGUAGGGAUACCCGCUGAACUUAAGCAUAUCAAUAAGCGGAGGA